GGGGAAUUUUCCGCAAUGGGCGCAAGCCUGACGGAGCAACGCCGCGUGAGGGAGGAAUGUCUGUGGAUUGUAAACCUCUUUUCUCUGUGAAGAAGAUCUGACGGUAGCAGAGGAAUCANCAUCGGCUAACUCCGUGCCAGCANCCGCGGUAAGACGGAGGAUGCAAGCGUUAUCCGGAAUUAUUGGGCGUAAAGCGUCCGUAGGCGGUUAGUUAAGUCAGUUGUUAAAGACCGCAGCUCANCUGUGGGAGAGCAACUGAAACUGAUUGACUAGAGUAUGGUAGGGGUAGAGGGAAUUCCUAGUGUAGCGGUGAAAUGCGUANAUAUUAGGAAGAACACCAGUGGCGAAGGCGCUCUACUGGNCCAUAACUGACNCUGAUGGGCGAAAUCUAGGGNAGCGAAAGGGAUUAGAUACCCCUGU
This 420-nucleotide ribosomal RNA is filed under the name uncultured bacterium. RNAcentral describes it as "bacterial SSU rRNA". It matches the Rfam family "Bacterial small subunit ribosomal RNA", at positions 356 to 791 of the family's 1533-position model. The record is from RNAcentral.